AUCGAUUGUUAAUGUUGUAUAUUCAUUAAAAUGAUUUUAAUUCAUGAAGAGACUAAAAUAAUCAAGAUGUUUCUUUCUAUUAUAUAACUAAAAUAGUUACUCAAGACCAGAAUUUAAGAUUUUCAGUUGUCAUCUUUUGCAUCUGCGCUGAGUGUAACUUAGAUAAUGCAAAUGAUGGCGUAUUUUCUUCAUCAAAACGUACUUCAAGGGAGGUGAUAAUUGAAUCCAAGUAUGGUAUUACUAAAGAACUCUUCCAGUAUUCUGAAGGGCUUUCUGCUGGUUGAUUGCUUCUAUGACUUUCUCUGCAACAACAGCAGCUUCCUUUAUAAUUUCGUCUGCCAAUUUUUCCGGAUUCCGGACAUAUUUUUACACAAAAUUUUUUUGCAAAUCUGAUAUAUUUGUGAUGAAAAUGAUUUUAAAAACGGAUGUCAAAAUCUAAAUGCUAUUCUGAAUAUACUGAAUAUACAUUAAACCUUAA
Molecule: long non-coding RNA, 478 nt
Organism: Diorhabda carinulata
Lineage: Eukaryota; Metazoa; Arthropoda; Insecta; Coleoptera; Chrysomelidae
Exons: 2
Source: RefSeq, a predicted model, not a curated record